RNAcentral lists this transfer-messenger RNA (391 nucleotides) under Flavobacteriaceae bacterium. Its description in RNAcentral is "transfer-messenger RNA, SsrA". It matches the Rfam family "transfer-messenger RNA". Rfam says of the family: Bacterial tmRNA, also known as 10Sa RNA or SsrA, is named for its dual tRNA and mRNA-like properties. Its role is to liberate the mRNA from a stalled ribosome. Lineage: Bacteria; Pseudomonadati; Bacteroidota; Flavobacteriia; Flavobacteriales; Flavobacteriaceae. The record is from RNAcentral.
GGGGUCGACUGGUAUUGACAGCGAGUAUUAUAAAUUAGUAAGCAUGUCGCGUAAUGAAAUUGAAACGCGUUAAACACUAUUUUAAAAUUUAAACGGCGAAAAUAACUACGCUUUAGCAGCUUAAUCCGAAUUAUAGUAGGAUUGGCCUCGUUCCACUAGGUGGAAAUGCUAAAUGUUUCCUAGGAGCCUUGGUUAAUGGCGCCUAAUAAGAAACAUCGUAAAAAUUAACAUAGAAAACUUGGAGUUUUGACUUGUUUUUGAAACUAAAGAAACUAAGUAAUAUAUAGGCAGUUUUUAGUCAUUAUAUUAUCGAAAAUUAAAUAAAAACUAUACAUGUAGAAAGCUAUUUUGUAGCUUGUUUGGACCCGAGUUCGAUUCUCGGCGGCUCCAC